AUACGGAGGGUGCAAGCGUUAUCCGGAUUUAUUGGGUUUAAAGGGUGCGCAGGCGGACCUGUCAGUCAGUGGUGAAAUCCCGGGGCUCAACCCCGGAACUGCCAUUGAUACUACAGGUCUUGAAUACGGUCGAAGUAGGCGGAAUGUAGCAUGUAGCGGUGAAAUGCAUAGAUAUGCUACAGAACACCGAUCGCGAAGGCAGCUUACUAAGCCGAUAUUGACGCUCAGGCACGAAAGCGUGGGUAGCGAACAGGAUUAGAAACCCGAGUAGUCC
RNAcentral lists this ribosomal RNA (274 nucleotides) under uncultured bacterium. Its description in RNAcentral is "partial 16S ribosomal RNA". It matches the Rfam family "Bacterial small subunit ribosomal RNA", at positions 523 to 796 of the family's 1533-position model. The record is from RNAcentral.